ACGCUCGACACCUACGGGAGGCAGCAGUGGGGAAUAUUGCACAAUGGGGGAAACCCUGAUGCAGCGACGCCGCGUGAGCGAAGAAGUAUUUCGGUAUGUAAAGCUCUAUCAGCAGGGAAGAAAGUGACGGUACCUGACUAAGAAGCACCGGCUAAAUACGUGCCAACAGCCGCGGUAAUCUGAGCGGGCUGGCAAGGC
RNAcentral lists this ribosomal RNA (198 nucleotides) under uncultured bacterium. Its description in RNAcentral is "partial 16S ribosomal RNA". It matches the Rfam family "Bacterial small subunit ribosomal RNA", at positions 328 to 539 of the family's 1533-position model. The record is from RNAcentral.